This is a long non-coding RNA of Cercocebus atys (sooty mangabey), 518 nucleotides long. RefSeq lists it as uncharacterized. NCBI's taxonomy places the organism in Eukaryota, Metazoa, Chordata, Mammalia, Primates, Cercopithecidae. The transcript has 2 exons. The record is from RefSeq and is a predicted model, not a curated record.
UUCACCCACCUCAACUUCCCAAAGUGCUGGGAUUACAGAUGUCAGCCACCGCGCCCCGCCUGCUUAAUUUCUUUUAAACCAAGAAGAGGAGAACCCAGGUAUCACAACAGCCGUCAAGCUGGGAAGGAGUGCCCCCAGCCACAGAUUGACACAACCCUGAGGAGACAGACCCUGAGCUGGCAGUCACGGCCUCAGUGGAAGGCCAGCCCCCAGAUGGACCCCAAGGCCUUGUUCCAGAGGGAGCAGCUCAUCAUGGCCCUGUAUCCCCAAACCACCUGCUACCACCACGCCCUGAUCCAAACGCCCCCACAGCAGCCCCAGGAUGACUACUCGGUCCUGUUUGAAGACACCUCCUAUGCAGACGGCUAUUCCCCUCCCCUCAAUGUGGCUCAGAGGUACGUGGUGGCUUGUAAGGAGCCCAAGAAAAAGUGACGCUGCCUGGUGGACUCACCAUCCCCCAACGACACAGGGCAGGACAGCAGAGGAUGUGCUGGGAUUAAACAGACAUUCCUCCUCCA